AGCUUUGCACAGUGGCAGUAUUGUAGCCAAUGAGGUUUAUCUGAGGCACGAUUAUUGCUAAUAGAAUUGGGAUGGAAUCAUCUGGACAGUACUCAACCAGAAUCUGUUGGACUAUGAAACUCCUUUCACCAGGGCAACAAAGGCAAUCAAAGCCAUGUCGGGCAUUUAUAGUAGAUUCUCUAGGGU
This 186-nucleotide small nuclear RNA is filed under the name Zalophus californianus (California sea lion). Its description in RNAcentral is "U4 spliceosomal RNA (ENSZCAG00015014071.1)". The stretch from base 1 to 67 matches the Rfam family "U4 spliceosomal RNA". The record is from RNAcentral. Lineage: Eukaryota; Metazoa; Chordata; Mammalia; Carnivora; Otariidae.